This 277-nucleotide ribosomal RNA is filed under the name uncultured bacterium. Its description in RNAcentral is "partial 16S ribosomal RNA". It matches the Rfam family "Bacterial small subunit ribosomal RNA", at positions 28 to 309 of the family's 1533-position model. The record is from RNAcentral.
GACAAACGCUGGCGGCGUGCCUAACACAUGCAAGUCGUACGUCCUGUCUUCUUUCGGGAAGGCAGGGAGUGGCGGACGGGUGAGGAACACGUGGGAACCUGCCCACCGGUGAGGAAUACCGGCGAGAAAUCGCUGACAAGACCGCAUACGCUUCGCAAGAAGCAAAGCUCUCCGCACGGGGAGCGCCUGUGGAGGGGCCUGCGUCCGAUUAGCUAGCUGGUGAGGUAAUGGCUCACCAGGGCGACGAUCGGUAGCUGGUCUGAGAGGAUGAGCAGCC